GUACUAGUAAUAAACUAGCUCGUGUUCCAGCAGUCGAGACUGAGAGGUCGAUCGACCACAUUGGGUAUGAAAAAAGCCCAAGGCGAACAGCACAGCAGUGAGGAAUAUUGGUCAAUGGUCUAACGACUGAACCAGCAAUUUGGAAGAACGUAUAAUAAAUAAAUUAUUUAAAGUUCUAGAUAAAAUAUUUAUAAUGACUAUUUUUUAUCUAUAAGUCUUGGCCAAAUUACGUGCCAGCAGUCGCGGUAAUACGUAAAAGACGAGUGUUAUUCAUCUUUAAUCGGUUUAAAGGGUACCUAGACGGAAAAUCAAGCUUAAUUAAACUAAGGACUAGUUUUCUAGAGUUUGACAUGAGAAGGUACGAACUAUCAGAGGAGAGAUAAAAUUUGUUGAUACUGGUGGGACGGACAACGGCGAAGGCAAUCUUCUACUAAAAACUGACGUUGAGGGACGAAGCCUUGGGGAGCGAGAAGGAUUAGAUACCCUAGUAGUCCUUGGAGAAAAUUAUGAGUGCCAUAGACUAAAGUGAAAAAGAAGUUCUUUUAAAAGAACUUUGUAUCUGAGCCUUAAUUGGAUACAAAGGUCUGGAGUAGCAGUUUAUAAAUGAAAGUGUAAGCAUUCCACCUCAUGACUAAAGCGGCAACGCCCAAAUUGAAAUCAUUAGACCGUUUCUGAAACCAGUAGUGAAGUAUGUUAUUUAAUUCGAUAACCCGCGAAUAACCUUACCACGUUUUGAAUUUAUUAAACAAGUGUUGCACGGCUGUCUUCAGUUAAUGUCGUGAG
RNAcentral lists this ribosomal RNA (783 nucleotides) under Chaetothyriales sp. A1002. RNAcentral's name for it is "SSU rRNA". It matches the Rfam family "Bacterial small subunit ribosomal RNA", at positions 246 to 1071 of the family's 1533-position model. Lineage: Eukaryota; Fungi; Ascomycota; Eurotiomycetes; Chaetothyriales. The record is from RNAcentral.